GGAUGACGCUGCCGUUACCAUGCACCUCGUUGCGCAGCACGGUGCUUCGGUCUGGUGGCGAGUGGCGAACGGGGGGAUCCCUCGUAUCGUGCCCUGGCGAGGGGGACACUAGAGAAAGAGAAGCUAAAACCGCAUACAACCUGAGGGUGAAAGCGGGGGACCGGUAACGGCCUCGCGCGACAGGAGCGGCCGAUGGCUGAUUAGCUAGUUGGUGGGGUAAAAGCCUACCGAGGCCACCAUCAUUAGCUGGUCUGAGAGGACGAUCAGCCGCCCUGGGACUGAGACCCGGCCCACACUCCUACGGGAGGCAGCAGUGGGGAAUUUUGGACAAUGGGGGCAACCCUGAUCCAGCAAUGCCGCGUGUGUGAAGAAGGCCUUCUGGUUGUAAAGCACUUUUGUCCGGAAAGAAAUGGCGCUGGUUAAUACCCGGCGUCCAUGACGGUACCGGAAGAAUAAGCACCGGUUAACUACGUGCCAGCUGCCGCGGUAAUACGUAGGGUGCGAGCGUUAAUCGGAAUUACUGGGCUUAAAGCGUGCGCGGGCGGUUUGAUAAGACAGGCGUGAAAUCCCCGACCUCAACUUGGGAAUGGCGCUUGUGACUGUCAGGCUAGAGUAUGUCAGACGGGGGAAGAAUUCCACGUGUAGCAGUGAAAUGCGUAGAGAUGUGGAGGAAUACCGAUGGCGAAGGCAGCCCCCUGGGACGUCACUGACGCUCAUGCACGAAAGCGUGUGGAGCAAACAGGACUAGAUACCCUGGUAGUCCACGCCUUAACGAUGUCUCUAGUUGUUGGGGAUUCAUUUUCUUCAGUAACGAAGCUAACGCGUGAAACA
Molecule: ribosomal RNA, 831 nt
Filed under: Cupriavidus sp. sk0929
Lineage: Bacteria; Pseudomonadati; Pseudomonadota; Betaproteobacteria; Burkholderiales; Burkholderiaceae
Also listed under: 1 other name
Description: bacterial SSU rRNA
Rfam family: Bacterial small subunit ribosomal RNA
Source: RNAcentral